Molecule: ribosomal RNA, 2894 nt
Filed under: Pseudomonas syringae
Lineage: Bacteria; Pseudomonadati; Pseudomonadota; Gammaproteobacteria; Pseudomonadales; Pseudomonadaceae
Also listed under: 1 other name
Description: 23S ribosomal RNA
Rfam family: Bacterial large subunit ribosomal RNA
Source: RNAcentral
GGUCAAGUGAAGAAGCGCAUACGGUGGAUGCCUUGGCAGUCAGAGGCGAUGAAAGACGUGGUAGCCUGCGAAAAGCUUCGGGGAGUCGGCAAACAGACUGUGAUCCGGAGAUAUCUGAAUGGGGGAACCCAGCCAUCAUAAGAUGGUUAUCUUGUACUGAAUACAUAGGUGCAAGAGGCGAACCAGGGGAACUGAAACAUCUAAGUACCCUGAGGAAAAGAAAUCAACCGAGAUUCCCUUAGUAGUGGCGAGCGAACGGGGACCAGCCCUUAAGUUGUAUUGAGAUUAGCGGAACGUUCUGGAAAGGACGGCCAUAGUGGGUGAUAGCCCUGUACGCGAAAAUCCCUUUGCAAUGAAAUCGAGUAGGACGGGGCACGAGAAACCUUGUCUGAAUAUGGGGGGACCAUCCUCCAAGGCUAAAUACUACUGACUGACCGAUAGUGAACCAGUACCGUGAGGGAAAGGCGAAAAGAACCGCGGAGAGCGGAGUGAAAUAGAUCCUGAAACCGUAUGCGUACAAGCAGUGGGAGCCCACUUUGUUGGGUGACUGCGUACCUUUUGUAUAAUGGGUCAGCGACUUAUUUUCAGUGGCGAGCUUAACCGAAUAGGGGAGGCGUAGCGAAAGCGAGUCUUAAUAGGGCGUCUAGUCGCUGGGAAUAGACCCGAAACCGGGCGAUCUAUCCAUGGGCAGGUUGAAGGUUGGGUAACACUAACUGGAGGACCGAACCGACUACCGUUGAAAAGUUAGCGGAUGACCUGUGGAUCGGAGUGAAAGGCUAAUCAAGCUCGGAGAUAGCUGGUUCUCCUCGAAAGCUAUUUAGGUAGCGCCUCAUGUAUCACUGUAGGGGGUAGAGCACUGUUUCGGCUAGGGGGUCAUCCCGACUUACCAAACCGAUGCAAACUCCGAAUACCUACAAGUGCCGAGCAUGGGAGACACACGGCGGGUGCUAACGUCCGUCGUGAAAAGGGAAACAACCCAGACCGUCAGCUAAGGUCCCAAAGUCAUGGUUAAGUGGGAAACGAUGUGGGAAGGCUUAGACAGCUAGGAGGUUGGCUUAGAAGCAGCCACCCUUUAAAGAAAGCGUAAUAGCUCACUAGUCGAGUCGGCCUGCGCGGAAGAUGUAACGGGGCUCAAACCAUGCACCGAAGCUACGGGUAUCAUCUUAGGAUGAUGCGGUAGAGGAGCGUUCUGUAAGCCUGUGAAGGUGAGUUGAGAAGCUUGCUGGAGGUAUCAGAAGUGCGAAUGCUGACAUGAGUAACGACAAUGGGUGUGAAAAACACCCACGCCGAAAGACCAAGGUUUCCUGCGCAACGUUAAUCGACGCAGGGUUAGUCGGUCCCUAAGGCGAGGCUGAAAAGCGUAGUCGAUGGAAAACAGGUUAAUAUUCCUGUACUUCUGGUUAUUGCGAUGGAGGGACGGAGAAGGCUAGGCCAGCCUGGCGUUGGUUGUCCAGGUUUAAGGUGGUAGGCUGAGAUCUUAGGUAAAUCCGGGAUCUUAAGGCCGAGAGCUGAUGACGAGUGUUCUUUUAGAACACGAAGUGGUUGAUGCCAUGCUUCCAAGAAAAGCUUCUAAGCUUCAGGUAACCAGGAACCGUACCCCAAACCGACACAGGUGGUUGGGUAGAGAAUACCAAGGCGCUUGAGAGAACUCGGGUGAAGGAACUAGGCAAAAUGGCACCGUAACUUCGGGAGAAGGUGCGCCGGUGGAGGUGAAGCAUUUACUGCGUAAGCCCCUGCCGGUCGAAGAUACCAGGCCGCUGCGACUGUUUAUUAAAAACACAGCACUCUGCAAACACGAAAGUGGACGUAUAGGGUGUGACGCCUGCCCGGUGCCGGAAGGUUAAUUGAUGGGGUUAGCGCAAGCGAAGCUCUUGAUCGAAGCCCCGGUAAACGGCGGCCGUAACUAUAACGGUCCUAAGGUAGCGAAAUUCCUUGUCGGGUAAGUUCCGACCUGCACGAAUGGCGUAACGAUGGCGGCGCUGUCUCCACCCGAGACUCAGUGAAAUUGAAAUCGCUGUGAAGAUGCAGUGUAUCCGCGGCUAGACGGAAAGACCCCGUGAACCUUUACUAUAGCUUUGCACUGGACUUUGAAUUUGCUUGUGUAGGAUAGGUGGGAGGCUUUGAAGCGUGGACGCCAGUCUGCGUGGAGCCAACCUUGAAAUACCACCCUGGCAACUUUGAGGUUCUAACUCAGGUCCGUUAUCCGGAUCGAGGACAGUGUAUGGUGGGUAGUUUGACUGGGGCGGUCUCCUCCUAAAGAGUAACGGAGGAGUACGAAGGUGCGCUCAGACCGGUCGGAAAUCGGUCGUAGAGUAUAAAGGCAAAAGCGCGCUUGACUGCGAGACAGACACGUCGAGCAGGUACGAAAGUAGGUCUUAGUGAUCCGGUGGUUCUGUAUGGAAGGGCCAUCGCUCAACGGAUAAAAGGUACUCCGGGGAUAACAGGCUGAUACCGCCCAAGAGUUCAUAUCGACGGCGGUGUUUGGCACCUCGAUGUCGGCUCAUCACAUCCUGGGGCUGAAGCCGGUCCCAAGGGUAUGGCUGUUCGCCAUUUAAAGUGGUACGCGAGCUGGGUUUAGAACGUCGUGAGACAGUUCGGUCCCUAUCUGCCGUGGACGUUUGAGAUUUGAGAGGGGCUGCUCCUAGUACGAGAGGACCGGAGUGGACGAACCUCUGGUGUUCCGGUUGUCACGCCAGUGGCAUUGCCGGGUAGCUAUGUUCGGAAAAGAUAACCGCUGAAAGCAUCUAAGCGGGAAACUUGCCUCAAGAUGAGAUCUCACUGGAACCUUGAGUUCCCUAAAGGGCCGUCGAAGACUACGACGUUGAUAGGUUGGGUGUGUAAGCGCUGUGAGGCGUUGAGCUAACCAAUACUAAUUGCCCGUGAGGCUUGACCAU